AAUAUUUUCCUUUCAUGAGAUUAUAUUAAUCUCAACUUUGCCUCUGCCACGAUAUACUGCUAAACAAGAACUUAAUCCAAAUCGUGCAAAAGUUAUAAUAUGGCCAAGGCUCUUAUGAAGUUUGUUGUCUUUGUUGCUUUGUUGCUGAUUACCAUGGGUUUGUUUCUUUUUCUUAUUUCGGUCCCUUCAUAACCAUUUCAUUUAAUAUAAGUCUUUUAUUGUGAUAUUUUAGACAUCAACAUCAACGUCAACAUACCCACUAUUAUUUCACACUAUAGGCUUUGGAAAAAUAGCUCAUAAACUAUGAACCGACUCAAGUUUUGGUGAGUCAUUGACCGCCUUAUUAUCACUCGGUCCAUUUUGAUCCAACUCAACUUAGUUUAAGUAAUUUUUGGACGGACAAAUAACUCUUCCAUUUUUUAAUUUGGCCCAUUUUUGCACGCCCAAAUUCUACCGGACUUGCGUAUCUGACACCCCUAAACUUUUUAAUUUUGGUCAUAAUACCCCUAAACUCAUAUGUGAUAUAACGGAUUGCUUACAAUUUUCUUGUGUAUAAUUGCAGAUACUUCAUCCAUUAAGGUGGCAGCACUAAGAAAAUGCAGUAAUUCAGAGGAUUGUGAUAGGGUUUGUUCUUAUCCCUGGAAAACCAGUUGUGUUUUUCACAGAUGCAUAUGCUGGUCCAAGAAAAAGCAAGAUAUGGGUACUCAAUUAGGCUUGAAUUCCAAAAAUAAUUGAUGUCUUUUAUUGUUCUUGUAUUUAUUUACGCUAAAAAUAGAUGUGGACUUGAUCUUGUGUAGUACUCUAUGUCAUAAAUGCUGUUUGCUAAUUGAUAUAAAUGAAAUGCUGCUUUUAAGUAUUCGUG
RNAcentral lists this long non-coding RNA (862 nucleotides) under Nicotiana benthamiana. RNAcentral's name for it is "long non-coding RNA (NBEN_LNC009603)". Lineage: Eukaryota; Viridiplantae; Streptophyta; Magnoliopsida; Solanales; Solanaceae. The record is from RNAcentral.